GGGGAUUUAGCUCAGUGGUAGAGUGCUUGCCUAGUAAGCACAAGGCCCUGAGUUCAGUCCCCA
Molecule: transfer RNA, 63 nt
Filed under: Rattus norvegicus (Norway rat)
Lineage: Eukaryota; Metazoa; Chordata; Mammalia; Rodentia; Muridae
Rfam family: tRNA
About the family: Transfer RNA (tRNA) molecules are approximately 80 nucleotides in length. Their secondary structure includes four short double-helical elements and three loops (D, anti-codon, and T loops).
Source: Rfam by way of RNAcentral